Molecule: unclassified non-coding RNA, 148 nt
Organism: Pongo abelii (Sumatran orangutan)
Lineage: Eukaryota; Metazoa; Chordata; Mammalia; Primates; Hominidae
Rfam family: Metazoan signal recognition particle RNA
About the family: The signal recognition particle (SRP) is a universally conserved ribonucleoprotein.
Source: Ensembl
GCUGGGUGUGGUGGCGCACACCUGUAAUCCCAGCUACUCAGGAGGCUGAGGCUGGAGAAUUGCUUGAAUCCAGGAAGCAGAGGUUGCAGUGAGCCAAGAUCGUACCACUGCACUCCUGACUGGGUGACAGAGUGAGACUCUGUCUCAA